Long non-coding RNA from Mus musculus (house mouse), 441 nucleotides. RefSeq annotates it as predicted gene, 40577. NCBI's taxonomy places the organism in Eukaryota, Metazoa, Chordata, Mammalia, Rodentia, Muridae. The transcript is spliced from 3 exons. The record is from RefSeq and is a predicted model, not a curated record.
GGAAGGACCAGCCCCGGGACUGUUUGUGUGGCUGCAGGGAUGGCCCUCGUCCUUGCUGGGGUCUGCUGGCAUUGUAUUAAGACCUGGAAAACGUUUCUUCUCUUUCUACUUUCCUGGAUGAGUUGGGAAACAUUGGUGUCGACAUUUCCCCCAUAUGUGGAAGAGUUGUCAGCUUCUGUUUUCCUGCUCCUGGGGUCAGAGAAGCUGCGGAAUAACAGCCCAGUGCUUGCUGGCUCAGUGGACCGCCCAGCCGCCAGCACUGCCGUUCCCGGGCAGAGGCUUCACUGAUGUGGCUUGUAUUGAGUUCUUUGGAUCAAAUCUUGCUGGAGACCUCUGACUUACCCAUUCCUGGGUGUCUACAGCUACCCUGGGGAUGGAAAGGUAGGCUAUUCUCCUCCCCUCCUUCCCUCUCUCCCUUCUUUCCCUCCUUCCCUCUCCCCU